AUUCCAGCUCCAAUAGCGUAUAUUAAAGUUGUUGCAGUUAAAAAGCUCGUAGUUGGAUUUCUGGUUUGAUGCCCUGGCCCGCUUCAAAUUUUGGAGUGUGUGCCGGCUGUGCGUCUGCCAUCCUUCUAGAAAACGUUCGUACCCUUCACUGGGCCGCGUUCGAGAUCUAGAUCUUUUACUUUGAAAAAAUUAGAGUGUUUAAAGCAGGCAGUUGCUAUGAAUACAUUAGCAUGGAAUAAUAAUCUAGGACUUCGGUUCUAUUUUGUUGGUUUGCACACCAAGGUAAUGAUUAACAGGGACAGUUGGGGGUAUUCGUAUUUAAUUGUCAGAGGUGAAAUUCUUGGAUUUAUGAAAGACGAACUACUGCGAAAGCAUUUACCAAGGAUGUUUUCAUUA
This 396-nucleotide ribosomal RNA is filed under the name Botuliformidae sp. Its description in RNAcentral is "partial small subunit ribosomal RNA". It matches the Rfam family "Eukaryotic small subunit ribosomal RNA", at positions 582 to 975 of the family's 1831-position model. The record is from RNAcentral. Lineage: Eukaryota; Cercozoa; Thecofilosea.